GGGAAGCCUCCAGCAAAUUAAAGUCCAAAAGGGACUAUGAGUAGUUGCCUGUCUUAGACCAUAGUCUGAGUCUGUAACUUGAUAUUGAAUGAGGAACUGCAGGGGAUACUUUGCCACACCUCAGAAAAUCACAGAGAAAUGAGACAUUCUCGUGAAUGACUCCUUUCCACAGAAGGACAGCAUUAACAAUUGGCUACACCU
Molecule: long non-coding RNA, 201 nt
Filed under: Homo sapiens (human)
Lineage: Eukaryota; Metazoa; Chordata; Mammalia; Primates; Hominidae
Description: HSALNT0183136
Source: RNAcentral